RNAcentral lists this long non-coding RNA (1395 nucleotides) under Capra hircus (goat). RNAcentral describes it as "lncRNA (ENSCHIG00010014034.1)". The record is from RNAcentral. Lineage: Eukaryota; Metazoa; Chordata; Mammalia; Artiodactyla; Bovidae.
UGACCACAAACAUGAUAUUUGCAUUUUAGGUAUUUAUUUUAUUUAGAAAAACCAUGACCAUCUUCUUCAUAGAAAUAAGUUAAGAAGAAGCUGUAGGAGGAACAAAGGCUCAACAUAACCAGUCUACAGCAUUGCCUUCAAUUUCUGCUAGCCUUUACCAAUCAACAGCGAUAUCAGAAGAGGCUCCAGGCUUUGCCCUUUACACUGAUAUAAUAAAAUACCUAUAUAAAAUGCUAAUCACUGUCAGCAAAUAUUUAACAGCUAUAAGGUGGCACAUAUAGCAUUCUAAAUUGUAUUAAUGUAAUUAAAAGAACUUAAAUCUUGCUUCUGUGGAUUCAUUCAACGUACUAUCUUCUUAUGCACAGUUUCUGUAUAAUACCUUCUAACAUUAGAGAUCUGAUAUCAAUUAACAAUGAAAAAUGUUUUAACAGACAGACUGUUAAAUAUGGUAGGACCAGGUAGUGAGUCACUUGAAUUUUAAGCACAUUAAUUCACUACAUAAGCUUCCAAUUUAUCUGAUCAGCUUUUUCAGUUANUAAGAGUUUAAAUGUACUGACAGGUUAUCCUGCAUCCUUCCAAUUAACAUCCUUUCAAUUUUCAAAGAAAAUUAAAUCUUUUUAUUAGCACAAGAAAUACUAUAAUUUUUAAUCAUAACAUUCAAAAAGUUAUAAAAGAUACAUAUAUAUGUGGCAUAUAUAUAUUGCAAUUAGAUCUAACAUGGAAGAUAUUCCUUUUUCAAAAGUUAGAGAAGUGUCUGGUGAGUGAUAGUCAAAACCAUCCCACACAACCAUCUUCCAAAGCUGAAAUUAAUUCACAAAAGGCCUUUUUAAAAUGUAGUUUUUCAAAUCUUAAAAUCACAUUUUAAAAAUACAUGUUAAAAAUCAUAGCUCUGAUCACAAUUUAAAAUUCUGGCUAUGGUGAAAAAUCACUCUAGAAAGUAGCAAGAGAUUAUCAUAAACAUAAAGAUGAACUUUCUAGAAUAGUUAAUGAUGAUGCAUCAUGAGUAAUAUUACUCAGAGGGUAAGCGUACCGGCCAGAGAGGCUGUGUCUGGCUCUAUAACGUACCAGCCCAUGUGACCUUGGGGCAAAAGUCACUUGCACUUUUUUUCCUAUGCUUCAGUUUUCUCAUCUAUAAAAUGAGAAUAAUAAAUGUACCUAACUCCACAGGGCUGUUAAGAAACAUAACAUACUUGGAGCAGUAACUGGUACAUGGUUAAGUGUGCUGAAAGUGACUGCUAUUAUUAGUAGUAGUAUUAGUAAAUGUUACAGGAAUAUUAAGAGGCUCAACAUAAACGAUACGCAGUUAAAUAAAGAAAAGCCCCAAAUCACACAAGAGAUGUUAAUAAAGUUUUGAGGCCACAUCAAUUACAUGAAAGAAGUGCAUCUAGGGGUUAU